AAAUUUAAAAGUAUGUUACGUCACUGUUUGUAAAUAUUUGUUUAGGCAAGUGCGAUGUUUGCGGAACGAGCCGAAGGCGAGUGGAGUAAUUACACGUGCCUAAACAAUCAUUUGCAAGCAGUGACGUAACACAUUUUACAUGUUUGUGGA
This is a long non-coding RNA of Bradysia coprophila, 150 nucleotides long. The record is from RefSeq and is a predicted model, not a curated record. Lineage: Eukaryota; Metazoa; Arthropoda; Insecta; Diptera; Sciaridae.